AUUCAUGGAAGCAGAUGCCAAUGGUGAUGGCAAAAUUGAUGAGGAAGAAUGGAAAGAAUUUGUCACAAAGAAUCCAUCAGUGCUAAAGAACAUGACUGUUCCUCAAUUAAUGUGCAUAGAUCCUAGGAUGUCACUCUAGCUUUUCCCAGCUUUGUACUGAACUCUUAAGCAGAAGAAUCACAAUUAUAACCUACAUGCUAAGACAUUGAAGCCACCUCUUGGCUUGUUCUCCUCAUGUUGGGAGUAUGCAAAAUUGUUUAACCUUGGUUUCUUGAUUGUCGCACCAUGGUUCCGGUGAGGUGAUCUCCUGGUAAACAUAAUCUCCAAAGAGGAAACUUGGCGCCUAACAAGAUAUGAGCAAUAUAUUUGGGGUGGAAAUCUGCUACAUUUCUUGGUACCAUUUAUGCUAUAAAACAAUAAAAGUCCAGCUAAUGAAACUGCUGCAGACUUUUACAGGUUUUAUCCAAAUCAGUCCCAUGUAACAUGCUAACUCUCAAUUCCAAGUGCUCUUAGUAUGGAUGUUUUCAUAAGAAUCAGAAAAUAAAUGUGUCCAUAAGCUGCAGGUUAGGAACAGUACCAGGUCUUGAAGCUUCCUUUCAUGAUCAUAUUCAGUUCUUGUAUUUAUAUAUCAUAUAGCUAGUACUUUCAAUGUAUUCUACUGAAAACACGCACAAACUUACCAGAGACAGCAAUGCGAUGAUUUCAUUUGCCUUUCACAAA
This is a non-coding RNA of Carica papaya (papaya), 720 nucleotides long. The record is from RefSeq and is a predicted model, not a curated record. Lineage: Eukaryota; Viridiplantae; Streptophyta; Magnoliopsida; Brassicales; Caricaceae.